RNAcentral lists this microRNA precursor (190 nucleotides) under Oryza sativa Indica Group (long-grained rice). RNAcentral's name for it is "MIR812 microRNA precursor family". It matches the Rfam family "MIR812 microRNA precursor family". Lineage: Eukaryota; Viridiplantae; Streptophyta; Magnoliopsida; Poales; Poaceae. The record is from Rfam by way of RNAcentral.
UAUAAGGGAUUUUAAGUUUUUACUUGCAACGUUUGACCACUCGUCUUAUUCAAAUUUUUUUAAAAUUAUUAUUUAUUUUAUUAGUCACUUACUUUAUUAUCCACAGUACUUUAAACACAACUUUUUUUUUUAUAAAUACAAAAAAAUUUAAAUAAGACGAGUGGUCAAAUGUUGCUAGCAAAAACUUAAA